This 253-nucleotide ribosomal RNA is filed under the name uncultured bacterium. RNAcentral describes it as "partial 16S ribosomal RNA". It matches the Rfam family "Bacterial small subunit ribosomal RNA", at positions 524 to 776 of the family's 1533-position model. The record is from RNAcentral.
UACAGAGGUCCCAAGCGUUGUUCGGAUUCACUGGGCGUAAAGGGUGCGUAGGUCGUCGGGUAAGUCUGAUGUGAAAUCUCCGAGCUCAACUCGGAAAUGGCAUUGGAUACUAUUCGGCUAGAGGGUUGGAGGGGGGACUGGAAUUCUCGGUGUAGCAGUGAAAUGCGUAGAUAUCGAGAGGAACACCAGUGGCGAAGGCGAGUCCCUGGACAACUCCUGACACUGAGGCACGAAAGCUAGGGGAGCAAACAGG